GAUGAACGCUGGCGGCGUGCCUAAUACAUGCAAGUCGAACGAAAAGACGAGGAGAUUGUUCUUCUGCCGUUAGCGGCGGACGGGUGAGUGACGAGUGGAUCAUCUACCUAUUUGACUGGGAUCACUUCGGAACACCGGAGAUAAUACCAGAUAAUAUAUUGAACCGCAUGGUUCAAUAGUUAAUGACGGUUUUGCUGUCACUUAUAGAUGAAUCCGCGCCGCAUUAGCUAGUUGGUAAGGUCACGGCUUACCAAGGCAACGAUGCGUAGCCGACCUGAGAGGGUGAUCGGCCACACUGGAACUGAGACACGGUCCAGACUCCUACGGGAGGCAGCAGUAGGGAAUCUUCCGCAAUGGGCGAAAGCUUGACGGAGCAACGCCGCGUGAGUGAUGAAGGUCUUCGGAUCGUAAAACCCUGUUAUUAGGGAAGAACAAAUGUGUAAGUAACUAGGCACGUCGUGACGGUACCUAAACAAAAAGCCACGGCUAACUACGUG
RNAcentral lists this ribosomal RNA (497 nucleotides) under uncultured bacterium. RNAcentral describes it as "partial 16S ribosomal RNA". It matches the Rfam family "Bacterial small subunit ribosomal RNA", at positions 28 to 507 of the family's 1533-position model. The record is from RNAcentral.